GUGAGGUCGUCGUUGGCCUUGAUCACUUGGUGAAGGUCCGACUCCAUGAGCUCAAAGACUACAUAUAUGUCCCUGAAUUCCCUCCUGGAAGGAGGGAGCAUAAUGUGCUUGAUCUCGACGAUGUCCGGGUGAUGGAGCAAGCGAAGUAACUUUAUCUCUCUCAGGAUGCGGGUGGCAUCUGAAACAUGCUCGAACACGUCAUUUAUCUUCUUGAUGGCCACCCG
RNAcentral lists this unclassified non-coding RNA (224 nucleotides) under Hevea brasiliensis (rubber tree). Lineage: Eukaryota; Viridiplantae; Streptophyta; Magnoliopsida; Malpighiales; Euphorbiaceae. The record is from RNAcentral.